Mustela lutreola (European mink) is the source of this 1091-nucleotide long non-coding RNA. RefSeq lists it as uncharacterized. The transcript has 3 exons. NCBI's taxonomy places the organism in Eukaryota, Metazoa, Chordata, Mammalia, Carnivora, Mustelidae. The record is from RefSeq and is a predicted model, not a curated record.
UCAGGAACUCCCAGUUUCUGCUGUUCCGUGAAGUCACACACCAACAAAAGGAGGCCAGAACAAGGGACCCAGGGUGGACAGCCAGUCCUUCAGUUCCCUCCAGUUGCAGCCUCCUCACCUUACUGUCUACUGUGCCAGCCUAUACUUCACAAUUCUACAGCUCCAUCUCCAAAAUGUUGAGGCCACCAUGGCCUUGAUUGGAGUUGAAUUGAUGCUGCCUACUGUUUGCCUCCAGGGUCCCAGAGCUUUCUACUGCUGCUCAGUACUUUCCGACUUUAAGGAAUCAUCAGAGUGGUAGAGUAUAUGUGUGGUAGCCAACAGUGAUGGAAAUGGUUUUCAAGGUGUGGGACAGCAAAAAUCCUAUGCCCUGGUAAUGUAGUCAACUUGAAAGUGUUCCCACUUCCAAAUCUAUGAGGGACCCCUGGCCACACUGGGAUGCCUGGAGCAGUUUGUCCUGGCAGUAACAACCUUCAUCCCAUGUUUGGUAUCAUGGGAGAGCUGAGUUCUGGAUUUCAGGUAGGUAAAUCACUUAACCUCUUACACGUAUUUGAUUUUAGUGGAAUUUUUUUGAGCAUUAUUUAGCACAGUGCUGGCUUGCUUGAAGAACCACUUUCUUUUAGCCAAAAUCCUCAGUGGCCAUUUUACUCCUUUGUCAACUGCAACUUUUGCACUAAUGAUGAUGUCAGCCCUCCUUGGCACUGAAUGAAGAAAAUUAUAAUGUUGCUACCUCUUAUGGAUAUUACCUAAUGCAAAAAUAUAGAAACAGCUUUGUAUCUGGAUGAAGAUUCCAUCCAAACAGAAGAGAAAGGAAUGAGUUUUAAAGUUCUUUGAGUAUUGAGGUUUGGGUUUUUUUGUGUGUUUUUUUUUGGGGGGGGGGUUGUAAUUAUUUGCCUCAAGUGGGUAGUAAGAAACCUGGAUAAUGAAAAUAUAACAGAGAAUUUCAAGUUCAAAUAUUUGUUAAGGGUCUACUAAGUGCCCAGUAUGGUUCUAGGUAUUGACAUAAUGAUAGAAUAUGAUGUCUGCCUUAGCCUUCAGAAGCUCAUGGUCUAAUAGGAGAGUACAUUUAGACCUAGGAGCACGAGGGGUAUAUA